This 490-nucleotide ribosomal RNA is filed under the name uncultured bacterium. Its description in RNAcentral is "partial 16S ribosomal RNA". It matches the Rfam family "Bacterial small subunit ribosomal RNA", at positions 28 to 507 of the family's 1533-position model. The record is from RNAcentral.
GAUGAACGCUAGCUACAGGCUUAACACAUGCAAGUCGCAGGGUAACAUGAGGAAAGCUUGCUUUCCUUGAUGACGACUGGCGCACGGGUGAGUAACGCGUAUCCAACCUUCCCAUAACUACGGGAUAACCCGUUGAAAGACGGCCUAAUACCGUAUGAUAUCGUCUGCUGACAUCAAAUAAAGAUUAAAGGUUUAGCGGUUAUGGAUGGGGAUGCGUCUGAUUAGCUUGUUGGCGGGGUAACGGCCCACGAAGGCGACGAUCAGUAGGGGUUCUGAGAGGAAGGACCCCCACAUUGGAACUGAGACACGGUCCAAACUCCUACGGGAGGCAGCAGUGAGGAAUAUAGGUCAAUGGGCGAGAGCCUGAACCAGCCAAGUAGCGUGCAGGACGACGGCCCUAUGGGUUGUAAACUGCUUUUAUGUGGGGAUAAAGUGCGUGACGUGUCAUGCAUUGCAGGUACCACAUGAAUAAGGACCGGCUAAUUCCGUG